GUUCGGGAAAGGGGGCAAGAAAACAGGUAUGACAGAAUGUUCCAUGUCACCCUCUUCAAAUCUACACCCCCAACAGCAGACAGGGUAUACACCUAGGGGCAAGAAGAUGGUUGGAUCACCGUUGCACAAGUUUUUAAAUAGGGUCCACCAGCCAGGCCUCAAAGCGGUCCAGCUCUGCAUCUGAUUCCAGGGGGAAUUGAAAUUCUCCGGACCACUCGAAGGCUGCUGGUUGGAGGCCAUUAUUGACCUUGGCCAUGAGCAGGUUCACGGUGGUGGCGAGUUGGGCAACUUGCUGCUUUAGGUUUUCCAAAAGCAAUAGGCCAUGUAGCUGAGCCGCUGAAACAUUGUGAAAGUUGAAAAAAAAGUGUUAAACUGGAGGAAAGACUCAGGUUAUUUUAAACAGAAUUGGUCCUGUUUCAUGGCCAACUCUGAAGGUUGGCUUGAAGAGGAGGUGACCUCCAGGCUCUCCACCAACGCUAGCUAAUUGAGGAAAGGUUCUGCAACAUCAUCUGUAUCUGGGACAUAACCAAUAUCUCUGGAAGGAAGUGUGGCUGCAGGUGUUUCCUGGCCGAUAUCAAUUAACCUUCUAUUAAGGUCCACCCUGGCUCUCCUCCUCAAAGCUGAACUGGAAACAGGUGUCUUGCGUCUAUUCAUUUUUUUACAUUUAGUUUGCAUCAUGUUUUCAGCAUCUGGAAAAAGAAAUGGAAAGUAUGUUAUAAGCUUGAUGGGUCAGAAGAGAUGGAUCGAGAUGAGGAGCCAUGCUCUACAUGUAAGUCCUCCUGUGAUGCCCAAACAUAGUGGUCAGACCCAAAGAUGGAGGACUACACCUAUUCAAAAGGGCCAACCAUCAUCUGCAGAGCGAGCACUACACAAUCCCCAUAAUUAUCAUGCCCUGUUGCAGUAUUUUGAAGAGUUAUGCAGACUCUCUCUUGUAUACAGGGAUUCCACUCAUUGCAUUUCACACCCUUGUAACCUGCCCACAAACAUUUGAUCCUACUUCUUUAUCCAUGCCUGCUGUGGACCAAAUCCUAAUGACCUUAAUGAAACUAAGCCUUCCUUGUGCCUGCAUUCCACUUCCUCUGCACAUGAUAUCCCUGUCUUUCCCUGUCUGACUGCAUUCUCAACCUACAUUAGAAAAUGUUUUGAGGUUCCUGUUGUUAUUAUUUUGUCUCUGUGAAUAUGAGUAUGAAUAUGAACAGAAAAUGAGUUCUCCAAUGGUCUUCAGAGACUUUAACUAUUGUUUUAUUUUAAAGCUACAAAUGUGUGUGUUUUACAUGUAAAUGUUUUGCAACGUGCUUGUGCAUCUGACUUUAAAAUAAAGUUUCACCUGAAAAACUAAAACCCAGGCCUGGUGAUGUGGAACUUUAAGGCUCUGACUGGAAAACGCUAGUUCCAGUUCAGUGACAGUACGCGCCGGAAGUCGCGCCUAUAAUUCGCGCAAAGUGUCAUCAUGGGGUGAAGGGUAGCAUCACAAAAUGU
Misgurnus anguillicaudatus (oriental weatherfish) is the source of this 1479-nucleotide non-coding RNA. Lineage: Eukaryota; Metazoa; Chordata; Actinopteri; Cypriniformes; Cobitidae. The record is from RefSeq and is a predicted model, not a curated record.